UUAAAUGUUUUCUUUAUAUUUUACAUCAAUUAUUCAGAUUAAGAAAGUAAAAUAUAUACAACGUGGCUGAAUAAAAAAAAAGAGGAGCAAAGUAGAGAAUAAUAGGAAAUGACAGAAGAGGUUUUUGGCAACUACAAUACAAAUCUAAAUCAUCAUCGUCAUCAUGUGGAGGUGAGAUUCAAAUCACUAACACCAUAUAGACAUUGACGUAAUUAACUUAAACCCAUAUAAUUGGCUAUUAUUCUUUAUAUACAUCAUUGGUUGCAACUCAUUCUACGUUUAUGCCACUAAAGACAAGCAGCCAAAUAACCUUAAAAUUGCUGUCAUUAUCAAAUAAUUUGUUACUUUACAAUUAAUACUUGGCUCAUU
This 369-nucleotide long non-coding RNA is filed under the name Vigna radiata. Its description in RNAcentral is "long non-coding RNA (VRAD_LNC004145)". The record is from RNAcentral. Lineage: Eukaryota; Viridiplantae; Streptophyta; Magnoliopsida; Fabales; Fabaceae.